UUAGAGUGAUGUGGGGACGGAGUAGUGACAGUGCCGCGAACUGACGGAAUAGUUCGUUAAAGGGUGUAGAAGUUGAGGAAUGCAGGCAAAUCCACAUUCCGAUUCGAACCUGAUAGUAUGGAGCGUCUUCGGACAAUCCAAUAGUGCAUGUAAUCAGACUUCCAAGAAAAUCCGCUAAACUUAAUCUUCUAGGUACCCGUACCGUAAACGGACACACGUAGUCGGGUUGAAUAUACUAAGGCGCUUGAGUGAAUCACGGUUAAGGAACUAGGCAAAUUGACCCUGUAACUUCGGGAUAAAGGGUCCCUCCUCGCAAGAGAGGGCGCAGAGAAUAGGUCCAGGCAACUGUUUAACAAAAACACAGGGCUGUGCAAAAUCGAAAGAUCACGUAUACAGCCUGACACCUGCCCGGUGCUGGAAGGUUAAGAGGAGAUGUUAUCGCAAGAGACGCAUUGAAUUGAAGCCCCAGUAAACGGCGGCCGUAACAAUAACGGUCCUAAGGUAGCGAAAUUCCUUGUCGGGUAAGUUCCGACCUGCACGAAUGGUGUAAUGAUCUGGACACUGUCUCAACCGUGAGCUCAGUGAAAUUGUAGUAUCGGUGAAGAUGCCGAUUACCCGCGAUGGGACGAAAAGACCCCGUGAACCUUUACUAUAGCUUAACAUUGAAUUUGGGCCAUUGAUGUGUAGGAUAGGUCGGAGACUAUGAAGCGGGUACGCCAGUAUUCGUGGAGUCGCUGUUGAAAUACGACCCUUUGAUUGUUUGAAUUCUAACCCGUUUUUAAUGGGGACACUGUUUGGUGGGUAGUUUGACUGGGGUGGUCGCCUCCAAAAGUGUAACGGAGGCUUCUAAAGGUACCCUCAGGACGAUUGGUAACCGUCCGUAGAGUGUAAUGGCAUAAGGGUGCUUGACUGAGAGACCGACAAGUCGAUCAGGUAGGAAACUAGAGCAUAGUGAUCCGGUGUUUCUGUAUGGAAAGGACAUCGCUCAAAGGAUAAAAGGUACUCCGGGGAUAACAGGCUGAUCCCUCCCAAGAGCUCAUAUCGACGGAGGGGUUUGGCACCUGGAUGUCGGCUCGUCACAUCCUGGGGCUGGAGAAGGUCCCAAGGGUUGGGCUGUUCGCCCAUUGAAGUGGCACGCGAGCUGGGUUCAGAACGUCGUGAGACAGUUCGGUCUCUAUCUAUCGUGGGCGUAUGAAAUUUGCGUGGCUCUGACACUAGUACGAGAGGACCGUGUUGGACUGACCUCUGGUUUACCGGUUGUGCCGCCAGGUGCAUCGCCGGGUAUCUAAGUCGGGAUUGGAUAAGUGCUGAAAGCAUCUAAGUACGAAGCCAGCCACAAGAUUAGAUUUCUUAGGGUCGUCAAAGACGAUGACGUUGAUAGGUUGCAGGUGUAUAGAUAGAAAUAUCACAGCCGAGCAAUACUAAUUGCCC
RNAcentral lists this ribosomal RNA (1431 nucleotides) under metagenome. RNAcentral describes it as "bacterial LSU rRNA". It matches the Rfam family "Bacterial large subunit ribosomal RNA", at positions 1456 to 2911 of the family's 2925-position model. The record is from RNAcentral.